RNAcentral lists this ribosomal RNA (680 nucleotides) under uncultured Vibrio sp. SA68. RNAcentral's name for it is "bacterial SSU rRNA". It matches the Rfam family "Bacterial small subunit ribosomal RNA", at positions 676 to 1355 of the family's 1533-position model. The record is from RNAcentral. Lineage: Bacteria; Pseudomonadati; Pseudomonadota; Gammaproteobacteria; Vibrionales; Vibrionaceae.
UAGCGGGGAAAUGCGUAGAGAUCUGAAGGAAUACCAGUGGCGAAGGCGGCCCCCUGGACAGACACUGACACUCAGAUGCGAAAGCGCCGGGAGCAAACAGGAUUAGAUACCCUGGUAGUCCACGCCGUAAACGAUGUCUACUUGGAGGUUGUGGCCUUGAACCGUGGCUUUCGGAGCUAACGCGUUAAGUAGACCGCCUGGGGAGUACGGUCCCAAGAUUAAAACUCAAAUGAAUUGACGGGGGCCCGCACAAGCGGUGGAGCAUGUGGUUUAAUUCGAUGCAACGCGAAGAACCUUACCUACUCUUGACAUCCAGAGAAGCCAGCGGAGACGCAGGUGUGCCUUCGGGAGCUCUGAGACAGGUGCUGCAUGGCUGUCGUCAGCUCGUGUUGUGAAAUGUUGGGUUAAGUCCCGCAACGAGCGCAACCCUUAUCCUUGUUUGCCAGCGAGUAAUGUCGGGAACUCCAGGGAGACUGCCGGUGAUAAACCGGAGGAAGGUGGGGACGACGUCAAGUCAUCAUGGCCCUUACGAGUAGGGCUACACACGUGCUACAAUGGCGCAUACAGAGGGCAGCAAGCUAGCGAUAGUGAGCGAAUCCCAAAAAGUGCGUCGUAGUCCGGAUUGGAGUCUGCAACUCGACUCCAUGAAGUCGGAAUCGCUAGUAAUCGUGAAUCAGAAU